GUCCAGGGUAGCCUAGUGGUCAUGGCAUCUGCCCGGUAAGCGGAAGGUCGUGGGUUCGAUUUCCAUAUCUUGACA
This is a non-coding RNA of Cordylochernes scorpioides, 75 nucleotides long. Lineage: Eukaryota; Metazoa; Arthropoda; Arachnida; Pseudoscorpiones; Chernetidae. The record is from the annotation of a GenBank genome assembly.